GCAGUGGUGGUUCACUGGUAAAAUCCUCUCCUUCCAAGAAGGAGACCUGGGUUCAGUUCCCAGCCAAUGCG
Loxodonta africana (African savanna elephant) is the source of this 71-nucleotide transfer RNA. It matches the Rfam family "tRNA". From Rfam's summary of the family: Transfer RNA (tRNA) molecules are approximately 80 nucleotides in length. Their secondary structure includes four short double-helical elements and three loops (D, anti-codon, and T loops). Further hydrogen bonds mediate the characteristic L-shaped molecular structure. tRNAs have two regions of fundamental functional importance: the anti-codon, which is responsible for specific mRNA codon recognition, and the 3' end, to which the tRNAs corresponding amino acid is attached (by aminoacyl-tRNA synthetases). tRNAs cope with the degeneracy of the genetic code in two manners: having more than one tRNA (with a specific anti-codon) for a particular amino acid; and 'wobble' base-pairing, i.e. permitting non-standard base-pairing at the 3rd anti-codon position. NCBI's taxonomy places the organism in Eukaryota, Metazoa, Chordata, Mammalia, Proboscidea, Elephantidae. The record is from Rfam.